AAUCCGGAGCGCUGCUUUCCUGCCGGCUGUGGGAGCCUGCGCUGCAGAGAUGCUUAGAGAUGGUCACUUCUCCUCCGUCUGGCACCUGGGGAUGUGCAGAACAGCCACUGCCUUAGGAAUAUUUUGAAGCAACGAGAGGAGAAACUCCAGAGCGGCUCCAGGGAGAACGCUCCCACGUUCCUGAGAUUCCUCUUCCAACGCUCACAGACAGACUCACAGUUUUAUUUUCAAAAACUGGGAAUGCUUCCAAAUCCCAGCCUGUAAAGCCUUUCACCAAAAAAAAAUUUAAAUAAAUAACAAACCAACAGAGGAAAACCACUCUCUCCCCCACUGUGGAGCAGGAGACCCUUGCAAGCAGCAAAGCCUCUGCAGACGUGCCCCUGUGAAGGGCAGCAUGCUGUGAGUGUUCAGCAGCGAUCUGGUGCUUCCCAGGAAGCAUGCAGGGCCCAGGAUUUCAAUUUGCAAACACAGCUCUGGGUUGUGUCUCCAAGGAUAGCGUGCUCUUCAUCCGCAGGAAAAAUUCAAGACAUAAAGAAAAAGAAACUGCAGGGCUGGAGAAAAAAAAGAACAGUAUUGCUUAACCUGGA
RNAcentral lists this long non-coding RNA (587 nucleotides) under Parus major (Great Tit). Its description in RNAcentral is "lncRNA (ENSPMJG00000003484.1)". Lineage: Eukaryota; Metazoa; Chordata; Aves; Passeriformes; Paridae. The record is from RNAcentral.